Molecule: long non-coding RNA, 815 nt
Organism: Plodia interpunctella (Indianmeal moth)
Lineage: Eukaryota; Metazoa; Arthropoda; Insecta; Lepidoptera; Pyralidae
Exons: 2
Source: RefSeq, a predicted model, not a curated record
GCGGAUGUCCAGCUUGUACUCGCCCGGCGUCAGGAACACCACUGUGCACUCGUGGUAGGCCCUGCCGGACUCCGCUAGCGAUGGUACCACCACUCUGCGAAUAAACGUGAAUUGUUGAACAUUUCCACAUCGCAUCAUUUUCCAUGACAAUGCAUUAUUAAAAUAAGGAUGAUCUAUGGUGCACCCAGGAUCGACUCCCAACUUUGGAACGACAAUAAAAGCUUGAAGCUAAAAUGAGAUUAAUGAAGAAAUCAAUUGCCUGAACUGAACUGAUAGAUGGAUUGUCCACUUUAGGACAGAUUCGCUAAAUAUACCAACUUAUAUUAUUGCCUGCAGUUGCGAGUCGACUGUCUAGCUUGUAAUUCAGUUCUACAUUGGUAGAACUGAAUUACAAGCUAGAUCUGUGCAGUUCUACCAAGAUUAUAACGACGUUAUAAUCUUGGUAGUACUGCACAGACAUACAUAGCUUCUUUAAGGCCUUCUGCAUGUGGUUGCUGACGACCACUCUGAGUGACAGACACUCUUCAGCAAUGCAUAUUUUUUUUUGUUUCCUUAUCUUGUUAUUGCUAACACUAGUAGUUUUAUUCAAAAAGGACUUAAGAAUAAUAAUAGCUAACGUUGUCUACUUGAAAAGGCGACCUUAUAAGAAGCGGUUUCAUAAGUCGCUUAAAGACAUCAAUUACAUUGCUAUACCAACUUGUUAUUGCCCGCAGUGGCGAGUCGACUGUCCAGCUUGUAGCUCAGUUCGCCGUUGUUAUAAUCUUGGUAGAACUGCACAGAUAUACACAGCUUCUUUAGGGGCCUCUGCAGGUGAU